CUCUACAAGAGUUUUUAUCUGCUUAAAAAUUUAUGAACUCUCACAGCAACGCAGUUCUUUGUGCUUUGCCCUGACAGCAACUUGUACCAUUCCUAUGGCUUUUCACACACGCUUUAAACAAUGGCUCUCCCUACUGGCGCCUUAACAUCAUACACCACAAAAGACCUCUGCCGUUUGCUUUCCUCAGUGAAAAUCCUGGUUCCUUCAGGCCUCAAGUUCAUUCUUUCAGUAGGUGCUUCCCAAGUAUUCGAGGUGUCCCUACCCAUGGCAGGGGAGUUGGACCUAAACGAUGGACCUGGAUGAUCUUUAAGGUCCCUUCCAGCCCAAACAAUUCCAAGAUUCUAUACGGUCAGUAAAUAUACAAUGGAAGGAUAAUCUUCUACUGCUAAAUAAUUGCUUACUUCUACAGUUUAAUCUCUUUUAGUUGAUGCUAGCAAGAAAAUAGUCUCCUGGGGCUUUGUCAGGAAGAGAAAGAGAUGACUGUUAACAGAUCCCCUUGCCUUUUCUUACUACUAAUUUAGCCAACAGUUGAGGUCUGGUAACUGACAGCCCCACAGCACUGAUCCAGCAGCCUUAGUCAGGCUCGUGGGUCACCUGUAAGCUUUAAUUUAAAAAAGCAAUCCCUUUACUACUGCUGUCUGAUAUAAAGUUGCAGGAGACCUUCUACCUAUCUUACCAUUUGAAGGCUCAAAAGUGGUUCAAGGAUUUAGAAAUAUAACUGAACACUAAACCCUCAAUUCUAAAAUACUACCUAAAAUCCUCUCCCCAACCCAAGGCUGUACUAUUGCCACUUUAGCCUCUAGAAAGUCUUUAACUUCAAACUCAAGUUUGGAGAGUUAUUUUGUUGAUUUGUUGUUUUGGGUUUUUUCCCCUCUCUGUCCUUCAAUUCCCAACGAAUUUGAAUGUGUGACCGCUAGUUCCUUCCUAUUUAAUCCUUAGUAAGACUUAUUAAAUCAUUCUUUUUACGUUCCUACACAUCAAGAACGAAUACAUUUGAUUGGACUGUAACUCCAGCCAGAAGAGACUGCAACAGCAAGUUCCAGAUUCUUCUCAGGAUCCAGACAAGCAAGUGGACAGAAAAACUGAAUGCAGUAUCACGCUAACAGAAACCUGCUUUGACAAUACAACAAAUUUCACUAGAGAUAUUUUAAAAAACAGGAUAUAGAAAUCAAUAUGGAUCAAGGCUUUUGAGAUCUCCCGGUCAUCAGGAAAUGCAGAAGUAAACAUCUGGAGUGAAGACAAGUAACUCUGAAAAGCAGUAUCCAAGAGAAGAUACUUCCCAACAGAGAGAGCAGGAAAAAAACACCCCAAAAAAACAGUUGGCAGCAGCUUUGAUAUUCUAAGUCCUGUGGCAGCAAAACUUCCUGCUCCUUCUCCUGGAAUGCCUUUGACUAUGUGUGUCCGCUAGUUCCUUCCUAUUUAAUCCUUAGUAAGACUUAUUAAAUCAUUAAACCAAUUUCAAUCGUGGUUCAGACACCAAAUGCAACACAGUAAGUGCUGUCUGGCUUGUGGUACAGAUUUUCUGCUCCAUACCAUCAGGAUAAAGUUAAGGUAGCAAAACAAUCACCCAUUUGCAGAUGGAAUGGUAUAUAGCCAACUGCUAAGUGACACAUUUUCAUAUAAAUACAGACAGUACUGAUUAAUGGUAGAACACCAUUCUUCCUUAUAAUCUCUCCAUAGGUCAGCAGCACUGAAAAAAUACAGCUGUAGUAGUGGAUGACAUGUUCUGGCUCAAAGGAUGUUCUGAGAUCCCAUCUAUUUUCCCCCACUGGUUGAACAAUUGGUCUUACAGUAGAGUGAAACAGGAGGGUCUCAAUGCAUAGUAAACAGCCAGUAUGGUACUAGAAGGAAGAGUAGGAGCAGUUAUAUCAGCAGCAGAUAACAGUCAAAACCCCAACACCCACAUAGAGCAAACAGCAAUUCUUUACGCAAUCAACAGACACUGGUUUAGCUUUCGGCAUAAAUAAACUGUAAUUUAUAGAGGAAAACAGUUCCCUUUUUCUUUUCCUCAGCUAUUCACCAUCUGUGAGUACCCAGAGCAACUUGAGGUUGUCUUCAUGUCUCAGAUAGGUUUUCACACAGAAUUUUUAGACCCGGUAGCACAAGAACGCAUUUCAUUUAGAGUACUUGUACAAUGGUGGACUGCAGGAGUUGGGGCGAAGUCCUAGUAUGCAAAUCCUGAAGAGAUACAAAUAUUCUCUUAUCAGCAGCUCUUGCAAAGGUAACUAAUUGGUACAACUUCAGCAUUUGCUGUUUGCUAGAUGAAUCUAUACCCCUUAUCACCUAUACCAUGCUUUUUGACACUUUUGUAGUAUGUGGAAGCUGCAGAGACUAACGUCAUGAAGCGCAUCAGACAAAAGUUGACAAAGGUAGAUCAAGCAUCCGAAAUGCAGAAAAAGAACAGUAAUAAAGACUGGCAAUACUACAAGGCAGAUUUUGUUAUAGGUAAGGUUAACAAACAAAAAUCAGAUCUUUUAGCAUAUUGAACAUCAUUGUACGCAUCUUUCUAGGUACUUCAGUCGGAGAUACAACAAUGGUAAUAUAAAAGAUUAGCAUGUCAUAGUCAAAUUUUU
This is a long non-coding RNA of Cuculus canorus (common cuckoo), 2573 nucleotides long. RefSeq lists it as uncharacterized. The record is from RefSeq and is a predicted model, not a curated record. NCBI's taxonomy places the organism in Eukaryota, Metazoa, Chordata, Aves, Cuculiformes, Cuculidae. The transcript is spliced from 3 exons.